GGCCCAAUGGUCUAGUAGUAUGAUACGUGCUUCGGGUGUUCAGUCACUCGCUCCUUCACAGGAGCAUCGUUGCACGGGGUCCCGGGUUCAAUUCCCGGUUGGGCCC
Schizophyllum commune H4-8 is the source of this 106-nucleotide non-coding RNA. Lineage: Eukaryota; Fungi; Basidiomycota; Agaricomycetes; Agaricales; Schizophyllaceae. The record is from the annotation of a RefSeq genome assembly.